RNAcentral lists this ribosomal RNA (311 nucleotides) under Candidatus Methanosuratincola sp. RNAcentral describes it as "partial 23S ribosomal RNA". It matches the Rfam family "Archaeal large subunit ribosomal RNA", at positions 2694 to 2987 of the family's 2987-position model. The record is from RNAcentral. Lineage: Archaea; Thermoproteati; Thermoproteota; Methanosuratincolia; Candidatus Methanomethylicales; Candidatus Methanomethylicaceae.
GACAGGUCGGACUCUCUCUGUUGGAAGCGUUGGUCGCUUGAGGGGAAGAUGCGGCUAGUACGAGAGGAACGCUGUGUCGCUGCCUCUAGUUUACCGGUUGUCCGGUAGGGCACUGCCGGGCAGCCACGCAGCAAGGGAUAACCGCUGAAAGCAUCUAAGUGGGAAACCCGCCCCGAGACUAAGCGACCAUUCCGCUCAAAGCGGACGAAGGCUCCUGUAGAACACAGGGUUGAUGGAACGGGGGUGUAAGCGCCAAGGCUUCGGCCGAGGCGUUCAGCCCGCCGUCCCCAAUCGCCUGAGGUGCUGACCCG